This 376-nucleotide ribosomal RNA is filed under the name uncultured bacterium. Its description in RNAcentral is "bacterial SSU rRNA". It matches the Rfam family "Bacterial small subunit ribosomal RNA", at positions 524 to 898 of the family's 1533-position model. The record is from RNAcentral.
UACGGAGGGUGCAAGCGUUGCUCGGAAUUACUGGGCGUAAAGCGCGUGUAGGCGGUUUCGUGUGUCUGAUGUGAAAUCCCCGGGCUCAACCCGGGAAGUGCAUUGGAAACUGCGAGACUAGAGUCCCGGAGAGGAAGGUGGAAUUCCAGGUGUAGCGGUGAAAUGCGUAGAUAUCUGGAAGAACACCGGUGGCGAAGGCGGCCUUCUGGACGGUGACUGACGCUGAGACGCGAAAGCGUGGGGAGCAAACAGGAUUAGAUACCCUGGUAGUCCACGCCAUAAACGAUGGGCACUAGGUGUCGCGGGUAUUGACCCCUGCGGUGCCACAGCUAACGCAUUAAGUGCCCCGCCUGGGGAUUACGGCCGCAAGGUUAAA